UCAAUACUAACUGUGCGAUAUAAAUGC
This 27-nucleotide small RNA is filed under the name Bombyx mori (domestic silkworm). RNAcentral describes it as "ovarian small RNA-24806". Lineage: Eukaryota; Metazoa; Arthropoda; Insecta; Lepidoptera; Bombycidae. The record is from RNAcentral.